UUACAUUCCAGAGAGAAAAGGCAAUGCUCUGGCUGAAAAGACCCGGCUGCAGUGGAGGACACUCCCCGUUCACCACAGAGCUCCCAGUGUCCCAGCAGACAAUAGGCCUCUGUGCAGCCCCAUCUCCUAAUGCAAGGACUGCUUACAUGUUUUCAUCUUUGGAAACUUCAAACUGCUUAGUCCCCAGGAGCGGCUGUACAAGGGAGCGUCUGUCUAGGAUGGAAGGGGAGAAGAAGAGAGUCAGAAGCAAAUGUGACCAGAGACCCUGGAGAAAGCAUGUGCAUGGAAAUAAGGGAAGUUGUGAUGAUGGGGAACAAAGAGCACUUUGAAUUCCCUGGAUCCUGCUUUCCACCAGCCAUAUGAUUGUGGAUAAUCUAUUUCACCUUCUGAAACUCCAUUUUCUGACCUGUAGCACAGGGAUUAAGUUGUGGGGAUUAAAUGAUAUGAUGAAUAUAAAAGCCAUGAGUGGAAUUCCCUGUUGGUCCAGUGGUUAAAAAUUCACAUACUAAUGAAGGGGACAUGGGUUCCAUCCUUGGUCCACAAAGAUCCCACAUGUUGCAGAGCAAUGAAGCCUGUGUACCGCAACUACUGAGCCUGAGCACCUACAACCUGUGCUCCACAACAAGAGAAGCCACAGCAGUGAGAAGCCUGUGCACCUCAACGAAGAGCAGCCCCCAUUCACUGCAACUAGGGAAAGUCCAUGUGCAGCAAUGAAGAACCAAUGCGGCCAAAAAUAAAUAAAUGAAAGCCGUGAGUACAGUGCCUAGUUUACAGUAUGACCUCAAUCAAUGUUAAUUUCCUUCCAUUUGCCCCUUUUGUCAAAUAAGUAAGAAGCUUUUUCACCUACAGAGAAGUAAAUCAAGGGUCAGCAUAUAUAUAUAACCAGUGGACCAAAUAAGCCCAUCAUUUGUUUUUAUAAAUAAAGUUUUAUUGGAACACAGCCAUGCCCAUUUGUUUACUAUUGCCUAUGACUGCUUAGUUGCUACAGAGACCAUAUCUGGCUCUAACAGAAAAAAUUUACUGAUUCCUGACCUAAGCUAUUCAAGUCCAAAAUCCAUAUUUAUAGCUUUGGAGCAGAGCUCUAUU
This 1086-nucleotide long non-coding RNA is filed under the name Cervus hanglu yarkandensis (Yarkand deer). Its description in RNAcentral is "lncRNA (ENSCHYG00000013282.1)". Lineage: Eukaryota; Metazoa; Chordata; Mammalia; Artiodactyla; Cervidae. The record is from RNAcentral.